AGAGUUUGAUCAUGGCUCAGGAUGAACGCUGGCGGCGUGCUUAACACAUGCAAGUCGAACGGGAAACAUUUCAUUGAAGCUUCGGCGGAUUUGGUCUGUUUCUAGUGGCGGACGGGUGAGUAACGCGUGGGUAACCUGCCUUAUACUGGGGGAUAACAGCCAGAAAUGGCUGCUAAUACCGCAUAAGCGCACAGGACCGCAUGGUCCAGUGUGAAAAACUCCGUGGUA
RNAcentral lists this ribosomal RNA (228 nucleotides) under uncultured bacterium. Its description in RNAcentral is "partial 16S ribosomal RNA". It matches the Rfam family "Bacterial small subunit ribosomal RNA", at positions 8 to 220 of the family's 1533-position model. The record is from RNAcentral.